Phacochoerus africanus (Common warthog) is the source of this 1361-nucleotide long non-coding RNA. RefSeq lists it as uncharacterized. Lineage: Eukaryota; Metazoa; Chordata; Mammalia; Artiodactyla; Suidae. The transcript is spliced from 5 exons. The record is from RefSeq and is a predicted model, not a curated record.
UCCAGGGUAAGGACCCCCACCUGACCAGGUGUGGGCUGACCCGUUGCUCCCCAACAGGAAUCUGGUAGCCUGCCCUAACAGCCCCAGCCCAGGGCUGCCUCAGUGCAGGGACAGGCCAGUAGAGGACACCACAAAGACCCAGCCCUUUCUUCCCAAGUGUUCUACUCAGCUGGCCUCUGGGACUUGCCCCACGCCUGGCCCCACAGUAAGCCCAAGCCCUGACCAAUUCGAGCCACGGAUUUGUUGAGCACAGGGUUGAGUGUGGGAUCCAGAUACUCCUGCACGUUCUGGAGCAGCACUGGGUGUCCAAACUGGAUGGCAUCUUCCAGGAUUCGAAGGGCCUGGGCCUGAGGAUCGAUCAUCAGGGCCCACCUGAAGGAGGCGGCGGGCGUCAGGAGCCGGGCUCCGCCCUUCCUGGGCCUUGUGCCCCCAGCAGCAUCCUUACCUGUUGCCACGGGUGACGAUGAUGCCAUUCUCGGUGGAGAAGGCAUCAGAGGGCAAGCCCUGGAUGUUCCAGUCGCGAACUUUGGUGGGAUUGGACAGGAAGUUAUCGAAGGUGAAGCGGGUAACGACGUUUCUCAUGAAUCAAUAUUCUAAAGGAACAAAAGUGUGUCCAGUGAAGGGUCUGGCUUCCUCCCACCGCUGACCCCAGGCUCCAGGCCCAGCCCGAGAGGGAACCUCCUCUGCCACCAUUUCCUAGUGCAGCCGUCCAGAUGGUCCGUCAGCAGUAAAGAAAGGCUGAAGACACAUCAACCAACGUGGAGGGCGAUCAAAGAUCAAAAAGUUGGAAACAAUGAAUACAUCCAUCAAAAGGGAAAUGGUGAAAGAAACGAUGGUCUGGCCGUCUGCGGCCCGGCACGCUGCAGGGACAACUCUUACUGGAUACACUUCUGUGCCUUCUGAAUUGCAAACCAUGUGGAUGUGUUUAUACUGCCUAUCAAUCAAUGACAGACUGGAAGAAUUUUAAACUCUCGAUAAGCAGCACUGAGAUUUUGUCUCGUUGGAGGGUUACUCGUGCACUUAUCUUGUAGGAAGGAGCUCACCUCUGGAUCGUCUAGCCAGCUCACGAUGCUUGUCAUCUUAAGGGUGGGCGAGCAAAGGCAUGCAUGUCCUCGGACUCUGUGAUACUUCCCUGUAUCUGUAUCACCACCGCUCUCUCUCUCUCUUUCUUUCUCCCUUAAGCUAAGACCAUCAUUUCUGUUGCUUACGACCGAAGAAACUUCACUGGUACUUAGGCCUUCUCUUCCCCACCAGGCUCUGUGCUGCUGAGGGGGAUGCCAAGCCCCAUCCGUCUCUGUCUCUCCGAGCGCCUGGUGCCCAGCUGAGGAUUAAGAACACGGGGUGGACGGGCGGCUCCCUAG